CAAACUGUCAGUGAUGACGGCUUGGGUUUCUAAGCAUUGUUA
This 42-nucleotide unclassified non-coding RNA is filed under the name Gillisella vitis. Its description in RNAcentral is "Agrobacterium vitis miscellaneous RNA". Lineage: Bacteria; Pseudomonadati; Pseudomonadota; Alphaproteobacteria; Hyphomicrobiales; Rhizobiaceae. The record is from RNAcentral.